This 2878-nucleotide unclassified non-coding RNA is filed under the name uncultured fungus. RNAcentral's name for it is "sequence contains 18S rRNA gene, ITS1, 5.8S rRNA gene, ITS2, 28S rRNA gene". The stretch from base 543 to 2878 matches the Rfam family "Bacterial large subunit ribosomal RNA", at positions 1 to 2310 of the family's 2925-position model. The record is from RNAcentral. Lineage: Eukaryota; Fungi.
GGCUGGAUCACCUCCUUUCUAAGGAGACUUCUGGCUAGACCAGAUAAGUCUUUCUAGGUCAAUCCCACAAUUGACAAAUCUACUAUUCAGUUUUGAGAGACCAGACCCUGGCAGCAGGGUUUUUCGUUCUUUAUAAACAAGCGUAACGUGGUUAGCGAUAACUAUGGGCUAGUAGCUCAGCUGGCUAGAGCACACGACUGAUAAUCGUGAGGUCGGAGGUUCGAGUCCUCCUUGGCCCACCAAUUAUCAAUCAACCGCACCUGUACAUUGGGGGCGUAGCUCAGCUGGGAGAGCACCUGCCUUGCACGCAGGGGGUCAUCGGUUCGAUCCCGUUCGCCUCCACCAAUUUAGGUAAAUAGGUUGAAGGUAGAAGGCUGAUAGGUUUUAAACCUAAAAGUCUUCAGCCUUCAGUCUUCAGCCUGAAGUAAGUUUGUUCUUUGACAAUUGCAUAUAUUCAACUGAUUUGUAGAAAGCAUGAAACAUCUUAGGGAUGUGAAGUGCGUACUUAUAGUAAUAAACUUGAUUGUAUUACAGUUUUUUAUGGUCAAGCUACUAAGGGCGUACGGUGGAUGCCUAGGCAGAGAGAGGCGAUGAAGGACGUGGUAAGCUGCGAAAAGCUUCGGGGAGCCGCUAACAGGCUUUGAUCCGGAGGUGUCCGAAUGGGGAAACCCGGCAGAGGUAAUGCUCUGUCACUGUACAGUGAAUACAUAGCUGUAUAGAGCGAACGCGGGGAACUGAAACAUCUAAGUACCCGCAGGAAAAGAAAACAAUAGUGAUUCCGUAAGUAGCGGCGAGCGAACGCGGAACAGCCCAAACCGAUACUAAUUCGUUGGUAUCGGGGUUGUGGGGCCCCGACAUGGGAUUGAUGAUGGGUAGGAGAACGGUCUGGAAAGUCCGGUCAUAGUGGGUGAUAACCCCGUAUCCGAAACCUUGAAUCACCCUAGGGUGUCCCCGAGUACCGCCAGGCACGUGAAACCUGGUGGGAAUCCGGGAGGACCAUCUCCCAAGGCUAAAUACUACUCUCUGACCGAUAGUGAACCAGUACCGUGAGGGAAAGGUGAAAAGCACUCCAAUAAGGAGGGUGAAAUAGAACCUGAAACCGUAUGCCUACAAGCAGUAGGAGCACCAUGUAUAUCAGGUGUGACUGCGUGCCUUUUGCAUAAUGAGUCAGCGAGUUACGCUCAGCAGCGAGGUUAAGCUCAUAGAGUGGAGCCGAAGGGAAACCGAGUCUUAAUAGGGCGCCAUAGUUGCUGGGAGUAGACCCGAAACCGAGUGAUCUAUCCAUGUCCAGGGUGAAAGGAAGGUAACACUUCGUGGAGGCCCGAACCCACUAACGUUGAAAAGUUAGGGGAUGAGGUGUGGAUAGGAGUGAAAGGCUAAUCAAACUCGGAGAUAGCUGGUUCUCCCCGAAAUAUAUUUAGGUAUAGCCUCGGGGGUUAAGUAACGGGGGUAGAGCACUGAAUGGGCUAGGGGUCUCACCAGAUUACCAAACCCAAUCAAACUCCGAAUACCGUUAACUGCGACCCCGGGAGUCAGACUGCGGGUGAUAAGAUCCGCGGUCGAAAGGGAAACAGCCCAGACCGUCAGCUAAGGUCCCAAAAUCCAUGCUCAGUGGAAAACGAUGUGGAAACGCCCAGACAACCAGGAGGUUGGCUUAGAAGCAGCCACCCUUUAAAGAAAGCGUAAUAGCUCACUGGUCAAGUGGGUCUGCGCGGAAAAUGUAACGGGGCUCAAGCAUGGUACCGAAGCUACGGAUUCACACCUUAAGGUGUGAGUGGUAGGGGAGCAUUGUGUAAGUCUGCGAAGGUCGAUCGUAAGAACGGCUGGAGAUAUCACAAGAGAUUAUGCUGACAUGAGUAGCGAAAAACAAGGUGAAAAACCUUGUCACCGAAAACCCAAGGUUUCCUGCGUAAAGGUAAUCUGCGUAGGGUUAGUCGGUCCCUAAGGCGAGGCCGAAAGGCGUAGUUGAUGGGAAACAGGUUAAUAUUCCUGUACCUCUUAUUAUUGCGAUGGGGGGACGGAGAAGGGUAGACGAUCCAGGCGCUGGUAGUCCUGGUUUAAGCGUGUAGAUGGGGAGGGCAGGCAAAUCCACUCUCCCUUUAACAUCAAGGCGUUAUGACGAGAGCUUAAGCUCACAAAGUCGUUGAUCCCAUGCUUCCAAGAAAAGCCUCUAAGCUUCAGAUAGUAAGAGACCGUACCGUAAACCAACUCAGGUGGGUGAGGAGAAUAUCCUAAGGUGCUUGAGAGAACACUGGUUAAGGAACUCGGCAAAAUGACACCGUAACUUCGGGAGAAGGUGUGCCUCUAAUAGGUGAAGCGAUUUACACGUGGAGCCGACGGAGGUCGCAGAGAAAUGGCGGUAGCGACUGUUUACUAAAAACACAGGACUCUGCUAAGACGAAAGUCGAUGUAUAGGGUCUGACGCCUGCCCGGUGCUGGAAGGUUAAGGGGAUUUGUUAGUCGCAAGGCGAAGCUUUGAACCGAAGCCCCAGUAAACGGCGGCCGUAACUAUAACGGUCCUAAGGUAGCGAAAUUCCUUGUCGGGUAAGUUCCGACCUGCACGAAUGGCGUAACGAUUUCCGCGCUGUCUCAACCAGUGGCUCAGCGAAAUUGAAUUCUCGGUGAAGAUGCCGAGUACCCGCGGUAAGACGGAAAGACCCCGUGAACCUUUACUACAGCUUGACAGUGACAUUCGAAUUAGUUUGUGUAGGAUAGGUGGGAGACUAUGAGCCCGGGACGCCAGUUUCGGAGGAGUUAACCUUGAAAUACCACCCUGAUUGAUUUGGAUGUCUAACCAGGUCCGUGAUCCGGAUCGGGGACACUGUCUGGUGGGUAGUUUGACUGGGGCGGUCGCCUCCCAAAGAGUAACGGAGGCGCG